AUUGAACGCUGGCGGCAUGCCUUACACAUGCAAGUCGAACGGCAGCGGACCUUCGGGUGCCGGCGAGUGGCGAACGGGUGAGUAAUAUAUCGGAACGUACCUUUCAGUGGGGGAUAACGUAGCGAAAGUUACGCUAAUACCGCAUAUUCUGUGAGCAGGAAAGCAGGGGAUCGCAAGACCUUGCGCUGAUUGAGCGGCCGAUAUCAGAUUAGCUAGUUGGUGAGGUAAAGGCUCACCAAGGCGACGAUCUGUAGCGGGUCUGAGAGGAUGAUCCGCCACACUGGAACUGAGACACGGUCCAGACUCCUACGGGAGGCAGCAGUGGGGAAUAUUGCGCAAUGGGCGAAAGCCUGACGCAGCCAUGCCGCGUGUGUGAAGAAGGCCCUUGGGUUGUAAAGCACUUUC
Molecule: ribosomal RNA, 405 nt
Filed under: uncultured bacterium
Lineage: Bacteria
Description: bacterial SSU rRNA
Rfam family: Bacterial small subunit ribosomal RNA
Source: RNAcentral